Molecule: transfer RNA, 72 nt
Filed under: Teleaulax amphioxeia
Lineage: Eukaryota; Cryptophyceae; Pyrenomonadales; Geminigeraceae
Description: tRNA-Glu
Rfam family: tRNA
About the family: Transfer RNA (tRNA) molecules are approximately 80 nucleotides in length.
Source: RNAcentral
GCUCUCUUCGUCUAAUGGUUAGGACACUACUCUUUCACGGUAAUGAUAUGGGUUCGAGCCCCAUAGAGAGCA